GACGAACGCUGGCGGCGUGCUUAACACAUGCAAGUCGAGCGGUAAGGCCCUUUCGGGGGUACACGAGCGGCGAACGGGUGAGUAACACGUGGGUGACCUGCCCUUAGCUCUGGGAUAAGCCUGGGAAACUGGGUCUAAUACCGGAUAUGACUCCAUGACGCAUGUUGUGGGGUGGAAAGCCUUGUGCGGCUAGGGAUGGGCCCGCGGCCUAUCAGCUUGUUGGUGGGGUGAUGGCCUACCAAGGCGACGACGGGUAGCCGGCCCUGAGAGGGCGACCGGCCACACUGGGACUGAGACACGGCCCAGACUCCUACGGGAGGCAGCA
RNAcentral lists this ribosomal RNA (325 nucleotides) under uncultured bacterium. RNAcentral describes it as "bacterial SSU rRNA". It matches the Rfam family "Bacterial small subunit ribosomal RNA", at positions 28 to 353 of the family's 1533-position model. The record is from RNAcentral.